Molecule: long non-coding RNA, 253 nt
Filed under: Manacus vitellinus (golden-collared manakin)
Lineage: Eukaryota; Metazoa; Chordata; Aves; Passeriformes; Pipridae
Description: lncRNA (ENSMVIG00005000810.1)
Source: RNAcentral
AUGGAAAUCACACAGAGAACUCUGUCACUGCUUAGGCUCUGUCUUGACAGCAGAGAAGCUUCUGAGGAUGGUACUACUUACAGAACAAUAAACACAAGGAGGGAAAUACUGCAGGUGACACUGGGACCCGCAGUUGUCACAGCUGGGAGGUCAGCACAGUUAAAUCAAUCACAUUCAAGAUGCCUGCAGAGAAAACAGUAGAGGUGAAAGCUUGUAAAUUCUGAUAAUCACCAACAUUUGAGGUGCAUACAUG